UCAGGUGCCACAGCAAGAAGGUGUCAGAGCCAGGACUAUCCUCACCCUGUCUUCUGAUUCUCCCUGUUUUAUUUAUUUCAUCACGUGUGCCUUCAAAAGGGGAUCUGGUCUUCACCUCCAACAGUAAAAUGAUAUUUUACAGCCUGAUGAUCCUCAAACUGUCCUCACACCCACACCUUUGAACCUUACGACAGAACUGCUUGCUUGAAAGGCCUGCCCACCUUCUUGGACAUCCACACCUCAACACUCUGCUAAGGAACACCUUUCCUGUCCUCAGCACUCGAGGGCAUCGAAGUGGACAUUUCUCGAGAAUGGAGAUCUCACGUGCCUGCUUCCCCUGGUGAGACCCUGUUCACAAUGAAUCCGCCACCAACACUUGGCGUGGUGGCCCUGCAUGAAAGCAAAAGGAAGAAGGAUGGUGUUGGGAAAGAUCUUUGCCAUGCUAUUCAUUACACCUCUGAGCUCUCAAAUGAGUUCAGAGCAAAGAGACCCUAAAAUUCAACACCAGCCACUGGAAGAGAUUUUUGUGGUUGUUCCACUGGAGAGGGACUUGAAAUGAACCUUCUCAAAAGGGAGGAGCUGAGACCACCAGAGACAUGACAACACAAAAGAUCACGGGACCCAUAUGACCAGGGAUGGUUCCAAAGUAACCUAGAGGACCACAUGUGGGGGCUUUCUAGAGAGAACUGAGGACAGAUAAAGCUGCAGAAGUGCUCACUCAUGAUAAAAAAACCUUUGAGAAGAAAUUGUGUCUCAUACUGGCCUGGGCAGUGAGGACUCAGAUGCUGGCUUUCCAUGCCCUGGCCCCUCCAUUUCUGAAAACACAGACGUGCUUCACCCAUUCACACAGAGGGAUUGAAAAAUGAGAAAAGGACUGUGGAAAGGGUUAUCCAGAGCACAGGCAAGGCUGGUGGAGCCUGUGGCUAGGUAUUCGCAUUUGUACUGGGUUGAAUGAGCUGGCACGUGUGUCUGGUGAGUCAGAGAGAGGCUAUAACCCCACCUCAUCAUCCAGGAAAUGGCAAACAGACGAAUAAGGUGGGAAAGGGGCCAGGAGACUUGUCUUUAGAUGUAACUGAAAGGAAAUGAAGCAAGGAUGAGAGAAAUCCCUUCCACAAAAAUCUAAACAAGUGUCCAAUCAGUUGUCUUGCAAAGUAGGAAGGACUAACAAAGAAAAAGCCCAAGAAAUUACCAAGGCCAUGGGGAAGAUCAUGGAAAAACUUACCCAGGUAAGCUCCCACUGCCUCUCCAACUUUGUCAUUUAUCACCUUGUGUUGGCCUCAUGGAGUGAGAGCUAGGCAGGGGCUAGGCUUAUACCCAGGGAUCCUAACAUAGUUCCAGGAGGGUACACAAUAAUGAAUUCCCAUCUGCCUUUCCUGCAAAGUCCUCCUCAAGGGCCACUCUCUCCAUCCCCAGUU
Molecule: long non-coding RNA, 1415 nt
Organism: Tupaia belangeri chinensis (Chinese tree shrew)
Lineage: Eukaryota; Metazoa; Chordata; Mammalia; Scandentia; Tupaiidae
Exons: 3
Source: RefSeq, a predicted model, not a curated record